UUUCAUGAUGAGAAAAUUUAUUAACACAGACCUGUACUGAACUUUUCAAGUCAUGCAGAUAACAAUAUUAUUGCCUUUUUAUUUCUGAUU
RNAcentral lists this small nucleolar RNA (90 nucleotides) under Lachancea kluyveri NRRL Y-12651. RNAcentral describes it as "Small nucleolar RNA snR56". It matches the Rfam family "Small nucleolar RNA snR56". Lineage: Eukaryota; Fungi; Ascomycota; Saccharomycetes; Saccharomycetales; Saccharomycetaceae. The record is from Rfam by way of RNAcentral.